This 279-nucleotide unclassified non-coding RNA is filed under the name plant metagenome. Its description in RNAcentral is "partial contains small subunit ribosomal RNA, internal transcribed spacer 1, and 5.8S ribosomal RNA". The record is from RNAcentral.
UCUCCGUAGGUGAACCUGCGGAAGGAUCAUUAUUGUAUAACCAAGCUCCCUUAACUGUCGCUGACCCGAACGCUCAUCCGCUCCCGAGUCCCCUCACACACCUCCAUCUCACCCCUCUGUGCACCACCGCGUGGUUCCCCCUUUGGUGUGUUCGGAGGCGUGCUUACUUUUUCUUACAAACUUUGUAUGCAGUGUAGAAUGUAUUUUUUGUUUUUGCGAUCACGCAAACAAUACAACUUUCAACAACGGAUCUCUUGGCUCUCGCCUCGAUCAAGAACC